RNAcentral lists this long non-coding RNA (1357 nucleotides) under Anas platyrhynchos platyrhynchos (common mallard). RNAcentral's name for it is "lncRNA (ENSAPLG00000022650.1)". Lineage: Eukaryota; Metazoa; Chordata; Aves; Anseriformes; Anatidae. The record is from RNAcentral.
CUAUUUAAUAGCAGGACAAGCAGCAGCAUCUGAAAAGCACAUAAGCUUAAUUGAUUCCAGGCGCAGCCAGCCUGGAUUUUGUUUCCUCUUAUUCCAACUUUCUGACCUUGUAAAAAUUAUCUUGAUUGUGUUACGCUAAAACAAGGCCAUGAUCUUGCAAAAACUACCACGCGUGUUGCUGCUGAGCGGCGUUGGGUAAAGCGCGGUGGAUGGGACAAAUGUUGACAGCGUCAGGCCCCGAGUCCGUCUGUUUGCUCACCUUUGCUUACAUCUAAUCACGGUGAAGCAAUAGUCUGACUUCUGCUCAAAGCUGGAUCUGGGUUUUUGGUUUUAAAGAGGCAAAAAAUGUGCAGCAAAACUUGAUGAUCUAAGGUGAAGGAUAGGUUUAAUGUUCUUGCAGUCGUUUAAGCUACUGGAAUUCUUUGACAUUUAGACUUGGAGAUAUAAAAAGGAUUUAAAAAAAUACUUAUUGCCUAUCGUUUUUCCAGAACUUUUUCUUUUUUCCUUGUGUAGUUGAGAUCUAUGUUUUUCAAAAGAUUAUUUCUAGGCAUUGGUAUGAAAGUUUAAGGACUCGCUGGCUUUGAUGAUAACUCUUACGAUGACAUUGUGCCUUUGUAUAAAUACAUACAUUAAAAAAAAAAAAAAAAAAAGCCCAGGACAGUAUAAAGUGUUUGAUGUGCUGCUGUCUUUGGCACUGGAAAACUUCUGAGUAUAAUUGUAUUUUCUGCCUGACAAAAAUCCGAGGCCCACCUACACUGAUCCUUUUAUUGCAAUACUUGCUGCUGCUCCCGGUAUUAGGGAAUCUGCAGCUUGCUAGCCUUAAAUCUCUGUGAAGACUUGCAACAAAACAAACAGAAAACAAAACAAAAGAUUAACUACUAAAUAAAUAAAUAAAUAAAUCUAGUAUUUGGACCAAGCAUGUGAUUCCUGUCUUUAUUUCUCUGAAGGUUCUCCUCUUAUUCUUUUUCAGGAUCAAGAAUAAACUGUGUAUUUUUGUCUUUGUCGGAAAGGCUCCCAUGGGGCAAUCCUCCUAAGCACUGGGAUUGCCUGUUUGGCAGCAAGGAGGCUUAUAAAAAGCAACUCCAGGUGGAAGUGGGCCUUUUCCUGCUCCUCCCUCCACACUGCUGCAAUUCCCUGUCGUCGAGGCCCUGAGAACAGCCUGCCUUUGAGACUGAGCUGCAAGUUUGUAGAAGAGCAAGUGAAAUCCUGCCUUCUGAGAAGCGGUGGAAUAAUCUGUGUGCUCAGUGCUAAAAAUACGGCGUGUUCUGGCUUGCAUUUUUUCAGAGAGAAAACAAUUGGUCCAUUGCUUAAAAGUUGUGCCACUCGGCGCAGCGAUGCUUACUGUGCGGCCUACUAA